Molecule: non-coding RNA, 31 nt
Filed under: Mus musculus (house mouse)
Lineage: Eukaryota; Metazoa; Chordata; Mammalia; Rodentia; Muridae
Source: RNAcentral
UGGUACUUUUUCAACACGUAUAAAGCUGCCU